UGACUUGCUAUUGGCGAGGACGCCGUA
This 27-nucleotide small RNA is filed under the name Bombyx mori (domestic silkworm). Its description in RNAcentral is "ovarian small RNA-32069". The record is from RNAcentral. Lineage: Eukaryota; Metazoa; Arthropoda; Insecta; Lepidoptera; Bombycidae.